UGUUGUGCAUAUUAAUGCAAACUACAUGAGAAAAAAAAAUGGACAUCUAUGAGCUCUUUAUAACACCUUCCUAUGCAUGAAUGUCAUAUAAACCUACAAAUGCUGAACGUAGGAAACAAUAUCGGUUAGAUGAGAUACGUCACAUAUUUAUAAACAAAAAAUAUAAGUAGUCAGUAGUAAGUCACCUGGAUAAAAAGUGUUGUCAGGCUAACCUUCCACGCAAGUAAGUAAUGCUGCGAUAUUAGUUUAUAUGAAAUCUCUUUCUAUAUAUAAACAAAUAACUAAGGCUAGCUACCGUGUUCAAAUCCCUCUUUUUGUAGAGUUACAUUGCAUAUAAUGCUUUUAUUCAGGCAAGGAGGACGAAUUGUUGUGGUUUGUUCCUGUGCUGUGGACAGAAGACAAAUGACUCGGUUGUUGGAGAAGACCAAGUAUGUGCUUCCGCUCGGAUCAGAGACGCUCCUAGCAGUCAUUAUAAUGUUAAGUUAAACUAGAUUCAAACCUGCGUAUUGCAGUAGAAUAUUUAGAUAAAAUGUAAGGAUGGUUACUAAACACAACAAACUAACUAUGUUAAAAAUAUUAAAGAAAUUAAUAGUAUUUGAAAGGUUGGUGAGUAGAAAGUGAGACAAGAGUCCUUGUGGUCCUAAGGUGUAGUUUGGGCAUCAUCAAUUAUUUCUGUAGACC
This 681-nucleotide long non-coding RNA is filed under the name Oryza brachyantha (malo sina). RNAcentral's name for it is "long non-coding RNA (OBRA_LNC000887)". Lineage: Eukaryota; Viridiplantae; Streptophyta; Magnoliopsida; Poales; Poaceae. The record is from RNAcentral.